AACGCACGCUGGCGGCAGGCUUAACACAUGCAAGUCGAACGCCCGUAGCAAUACGGGAGUGGCGGACGGGUGAGUAACGCGUGGGAACGUACCCUGAGGUACGGAAUAACCGAGGGAAACUUCGGCUAAUACCGUAUGAGCCCCGCAAGGGGGAAAGAUUUAUCGCCUUGGGAGCGGCCCGCGUCGGAUUAGCUAGUUGGUGGGGUAACGGCCUACCAAGGCUUCGAUCCGUAGCUGGUCUGAGAGGACGAUCAGCCACACUGGGACUGAGACACGGCCCAGACUCCUACGGGAGGCAGCAGUGGGGAAUCUUGCGCAAUGGGGGCAACCCUGACGCAGCCAUGCCGCGUGAACGAUGAAGGCCUUAGGGUUGUAAAGUUCUUUUACCCGUGACGAUGAUGACGGUAACGGGGGAAUAAGCUCCGGCUAACUUCGUG
This 437-nucleotide ribosomal RNA is filed under the name uncultured bacterium. RNAcentral describes it as "bacterial SSU rRNA". It matches the Rfam family "Bacterial small subunit ribosomal RNA", at positions 29 to 507 of the family's 1533-position model. The record is from RNAcentral.